RNAcentral lists this ribosomal RNA (440 nucleotides) under uncultured bacterium. RNAcentral's name for it is "partial 16S ribosomal RNA". It matches the Rfam family "Bacterial small subunit ribosomal RNA", at positions 338 to 795 of the family's 1533-position model. The record is from RNAcentral.
CCUACGGGAGGCAGCAGUGGGGGAUAUUGCACAAUGGGGGAAACUCUGAUGCAGCGACGCCGCGUGUGGGAAGACGGUCCUCUGGAUUGUAAACCACUGUUCCCAGGGACGAAGAUGACGCUACCUGGGGUGGAUGCUCCGGCAACCUACGUGCCAGCAGCCUCGGUAAUACGUAGGGAGCGAGCGUUUUCCGGAAUUACUGGGUGUAAGGGGAGCGUAGGCGGGGAUGCAAGUUGGGUGUCAAACCUACCGGCUCAACUGGUAGUCGCACUCAAAACUGCAGCGCUUGAGUGAAGUAGAGGCAGGCGGAAUUCCUAGUGUAGCGGUGAAAUGCGUAGAUAUUAGGAGGAACACCGGUGGCGAAGGCGGCCUGCUGGGCUGUGACUGACGCUGAGGCUCGAAAGUGUGGGGAGCAAACAGGAUUAGAUACCCUGGUAGUC